Molecule: long non-coding RNA, 2735 nt
Organism: Girardinichthys multiradiatus
Lineage: Eukaryota; Metazoa; Chordata; Actinopteri; Cyprinodontiformes; Goodeidae
Exons: 3
Source: RefSeq, a predicted model, not a curated record
GUGAUCAGAGAGCUCCUAUCUUUGCCUAAUUGUUCCUGUCAAGGACUCCUAGCUGAAGAGGGAUUCACUUCGCUGUGGAGAGCAGCUCUGAACAAGGAGACAACAGAAAUUCCUGUUAUAGUGAGGAGGAGCACAGACAGGUUCCAGAGGCUGAAACUGACUGCAGGAUUCUUGAUGAUUGCUGUUUACAUCAAAGAGUCACCAGUGGAAGCCACUGAGCCGUCUUCUAUCUGAGGGGAGUUUGCCUGAGGCCUGGCAGUGCACAGAAGGCAGCUGUUAUACCAUGGGACCCACCCAGAAUGGGGUCCCACCAUGAAGUCCUCCCACAAAUGGAAUAUCCCAUCCAACUGACCAAUAGCACACAUCUAAACUAUGUGGAAACUCCUGUAAGGAAUCAUAGCAGCAAUGGUUUCAUAAGUUAGUACAUGAGCAGGGGUCCUGAAAGGGGUUGGCAGUAACACCAGAAGAGCCAAGCACAGCUACUGGUUGAAAGAGCAGUCAGCUAUGACUAGACAUACGAACCUCUACACUGCAUGAAUUGACUACAAGAAAGCCUAAAUAGCACAUGCAUGGAUCCUGGAGUGUUUGAAACUGUAUAACAUCAACAGGACACUUAGAUCCUUCAUGAGGACCUCAAUGGGAAUGCAGAAGAAAACUCUGAAAGCCAAUUUGUAGCCAAUUGUCCAAGAUACCUUUAAGUGCAGGCUAUAUCAAGGGGAUGCUCUAUCUCUGCUACUGUUCUGUAUAGGCCUGAACACCCUCAGUCAGAUCAUCACAAAGAGCAGCAAUAGAUACGGAUUUCAAAAUGAAGCCACCAUCAGUCACAUCCUCUGCAUGGAUGACAUCAAGUCACUGAUCCACGUAACCAGGAUAUACAGCAAGGACAUUGGAAUAUCAUUGUGACUACAUAGGUGUGGCCGAAUGAUAUCCAAGAGAGGCAAGGUGAAUGCUACCAAAGGAUUUGAACUGCCAGAAGGUGAAACUGCUGAUGCUGAAGACAUCUACAUAAUAGGUUGGGAUCCUACAAGCAAUCGGCAACCUUGAUGAGACCGCAAGGAAGUCAGCCACAACCAAGUACUUACAAAGAAUAAGAAAGCAUCCAGACCUUGCUGAAAUCUCCCUCAACUUUGUGGACAAGCAUGUUAUACCUCCUCUUUAUUAUCCUCCUCAGCAUUAUUCUUUCGGUUUAUUUUUUUACAGAUGGAACGAGACUUUUUGUUGAGGUGGAUGAAAACAUGAACAAUUCUGCAUACCAAUCAGCAGUAAUUUAGAACAUUCUGGUGUCCGCUAAAAAGCAGAAGAUGAAGAUCUUGUUUUGUAGGUUCACUGGAAAUUUAAACACACUUCCAAAACAACAAAAUAAUUACUUUAUGACAGGAACAUUAAAGUUUUGGAAUGAGAAAGUCAGAGUCCAGAACUAAAUUUGACAGCAAGAUUGUGGGCUCACCUCAAGAGAGCUGUAGACAACAGUUGACCUCAAACUAAAUUAGAUUUGGCAACAAUUUGCAGUCAAGAGUUGACAAACAUUACCAACUUAAAUAUUAGUUUGAGGGCGUUCAUAAUUUUAAAACCGUUUGUUGUAGCAGUUAUUAUAAAUAUACUGUAUUUGAUAAAUUAUCAAUGGGAGGGGUGUUGAAGAAAAAUUAUUAUUAUAGUGCAUGACUAAAUAAAAAUUGUAUUAUACCACUGUAAAUGGGGUUUUAAAACAAAUGUCCCUCUAAAUUGACACAUUCUACCUUGAAAUAGUUUAUUUACACUUAGCAUUUAGUCCAUAGACAAUAAUGUCGGAGUGGAUAUUCAGCUUUUUGGGAUAGCUAGUGCAUUUACAGCAAAUGUCACUAAUGUGUACUGUCUCUAUCAAUAAACUAAACCAACAUCACACUGAAGUCAAAUUCUGUUUGACUCAGUGUAGACACACAAUAAACCAAAAAGUAAUGUCUCAGUCUCCUCCUAUCUCUGUUAGAAAUUUAAAUUAUGUUUUUUUUCCCAGUAGGGACUAAACAAUAAUGGCUAGCUUGGAAAGUUUCUUGUCUUAGAUUACAAAAACGCCAAAAUCACAUCUAGAGGGAUGCUGUGAAACUGCUUUUAAUGCAAAGUUCAACAUUCUGGUCUGAUGAUUUAGGCCUGGACCUUCAGUCUGGGAGGUGAAGCUCUCGGAAAUGUGUUAAUGCAAAAGGACAAUUUACCCAUCACAGCAGCAAAUCUACAACACAGUGGCUGAAAUAAAAAAGAAAUCAAGGUGGUACAAUGGCCUUAUUAAUGCACAGACCUUAACCCAAUCCAAAUGCCAUGGCAGGACUUUGGGGCAGUUGUGCAUUCAUAACUACAUAGAAACAGAAAUGAGUUCCUCUACAACUUGUGAAAAAUCAGAUAAAGUCAGACAGAGGGUGAUUACUUUAUGGUUUUGCUGUAAAGAUGGUUCUUCAAGGUAAAAAAAUAUUGGAAAGUACAUUGUUUUUUUCCAACCACUGCUUUGGCAUUUUGUCUUUUUCUUCAAUAGACAAUGAUACACUGAAACAUUUCCUGUAUUGUUGUAUAAGUGAGAGUAUAAAGUCUGGUAAAAAGAUGCUACACCCUCUGUCAAUUGUAGGAUUAUAACCUUUAAAUGAUCCUUAAAGGAUUCUACUGUUAUCUACAUCUAAAUUCAUGUGUAUGAAAUCACUGAUGUAAUUGUUAUCAUUUACUGAACAAAGAUUAAACAAAAAUGUGAAAUUCUGAAAAAGUAUGUACACCCG